GAUGAACGCUGGCGGCGUGCCUAAUACAUGCAAGUCGAGCGAACGGACGAGAAGCUCGCUCCUCUGAUGUUAGCGGCGGACGGGCGAGUAACACGUGGAUAACCUACCUAUAAGACUGGGAUAACUUCGGGAAACCGGAGCUAAUACCGGAUAAUAUUUUGAACCGCAUGGUUCAAAAGUGAAAGACGGUCUUGCUGUCACUUAUAGACGGAUCCGCGCUGCAUUAGCUAGUUGGUAAGGUAACGGCUUACCAAGGCAACGAUGCAUAGCCGACCUGAGAGGGUGAUCGGCCACACUGGAACUGAGACACGGUCCAGACUCCUACGGGAGGCAGCAGUAGGGAAUCUUCCGCAAUGGGCGAAAGCCUGACGGAGCAACGCCGCGUGAGUGAUGAAGGUCUUCGGAUCGUAAAGCUCUGUUAUUAGGGAAGAACAUAUGUGUAAGUAACUGUGCACAUCUUGACGGUACCUAAUCAGAAAGCCACGGCUAACUACGUG
This 497-nucleotide ribosomal RNA is filed under the name uncultured bacterium. RNAcentral's name for it is "partial 16S ribosomal RNA". It matches the Rfam family "Bacterial small subunit ribosomal RNA", at positions 28 to 507 of the family's 1533-position model. The record is from RNAcentral.